This 253-nucleotide ribosomal RNA is filed under the name uncultured bacterium. Its description in RNAcentral is "partial 16S ribosomal RNA". It matches the Rfam family "Bacterial small subunit ribosomal RNA", at positions 524 to 776 of the family's 1533-position model. The record is from RNAcentral.
UACAGAGGGGGCAAGCGUUAUUCGGAAUUAUUGGGCGUAAAGGGCGCGUAGGCGGGUCACCAAGUCCGGGGUGAAAUCCUUCGGCUCAACCGGAAAAUUGCCUUGGAUACUGGUGGUCUUGAGGGAGGUAGGGGCAUGUGGAACUUCCGGUGGAGCGGUGAAAUGCGUUGAUAUCGGAAGGAACGCCGGUGGCGAAAGCGACGUGCUGGAUCUCUUCUGACGCUGAGGCGCGAAAGCUAGGGGAGCAAACGGG